This 387-nucleotide ribosomal RNA is filed under the name Triticum aestivum (bread wheat). Its description in RNAcentral is "partial small subunit ribosomal RNA". The record is from RNAcentral. Lineage: Eukaryota; Viridiplantae; Streptophyta; Magnoliopsida; Poales; Poaceae.
AUGCUGAUUGAGAUAGUUAAUCAAUUGGCAUGGGGUGGCCACAUCCAGCGAGGGUGGCGUUCUGUGGAUUUGGCGCCCCCCAUCCCAGCAGCACGUGGGAGCCGGUGUCUUCGGGAAGAGCUGGGUCUCCUUGCCGGCGACCUCACCAUCUUGCCAGCGACUUCACCUUCACCAGCCCAUCUACAGAAAAUUGGCUGCGUUCAAAAUAGUGAUGUGAUGGAGCUAAUGAGAGGGCUCAUAAAUCAGCUUAGUGAGCUUAUAUCUUGGUUGGGCACACAGGACCUUGGUCCGAGGAGCUUGGGACUUUCCCACAACUUGUCUAGAUACAAGCUGAAAUUCAGUCCUAAAAAGGUGAGGAAUUCAUGGGCUUGUAACAUGGAAAAAUAA